Molecule: ribosomal RNA, 504 nt
Filed under: uncultured bacterium
Lineage: Bacteria
Description: bacterial SSU rRNA
Rfam family: Bacterial small subunit ribosomal RNA
Source: RNAcentral
AGAGUUUGAUCAUGGCUCAGGACGAACGCUGGCGGCGUGCUUAACACAUGCAAGUCGAGCGGUAAGGCCCUUUCGGGGGUACACGAGCGGCGAACGGGUGAGUAACACGUGGGUGACCUGCCCUUAGCUCUGGGAUAAGCCUGGGAAACUGGGUCUAAUACCGGAUAUGACCUCAUGACGCAUGUUGUGGGGUGGAAAGCCUUGUGCGGCUAGGGAUGGGCCCGCGGCCUAUCAGCUUGUUGGUGGGGUGAUGGCCUACCAAGGCGACGACGGGUAGCCGGCCUGAGAGGGCGACCGGCCACACUGGGACUGAGACACGGCCCAGACUCCUACGGGAGGCAGCAGUGGGGAAUCUUGCGCAAUGGGCGAAAGCCUGACGCAGCGACGCCGCGUGAGGGAUGACGGCCUUCGGGUUGUAAACCUCUUUCAGCCCUGACGAAGCGAAAGUGACGGUAGGGGCAGAAGAAGCACCGGCCAACUACGUGCCAGCAGCCGCGGUAAUAC